This 152-nucleotide ribosomal RNA is filed under the name Sparassis crispa. RNAcentral's name for it is "partial 5.8S ribosomal RNA". It matches the Rfam family "5.8S ribosomal RNA". Rfam says of the family: 5.8S ribosomal RNA (5.8S rRNA) is a component of the large subunit of the eukaryotic ribosome. Lineage: Eukaryota; Fungi; Basidiomycota; Agaricomycetes; Polyporales; Sparassidaceae. The record is from RNAcentral.
CAGCGACCCGGAUCUCUUGCGCUCUCGCAUCGAUGAAAGAUCGCAGCGAAACGCGAUUAAGUAAUGUGAAUUGCAGAAUUCAGUGAAUCAUCGAAUCUUUGAACGCACCUUGCGCUCCUCGGUAUUCCGAGGAGCAUGCCUGUUUGAGUGUC